CUGCUGUGCCACCUGCUGUGCCACCAGCUGAGAAUUGAUGCGAGGUUUCCUACAACAGUGAACACAAGACAGAGAUUAACCACUAGACAGCCUCAUCUUCUUGUGCAGUGCCAGCCUCGUCCUGUGACGAGGUCGCGGUUGAUGUGAACGGAUUUGGCCAUAUUGGGCUACAGCUGCCUACGCUCAGUAUCUGGCAAAGUGGAGAUUGUUGUCAUCAAUGACUCCUUUCAUAGACCUCAACUACAUGGUCUACAUGUUCCAGUAAGACUCUACCCAUGGCAAAUUCAACCACACAGACAAGGCUGAGAAUGGGAAGCUUGUUAUCAAUCAGAAGGCCAUCACCAUCUUCCAAGAGCGAGAUUAACAUCAAAUGCGGACCAGACAGACUUGAUCAAUCUGCAUCAUAGGAAGCUGAAGCCCUUCAGAAAUGCUGAUUCGCCUGUUCCUCUGGCAAAUUAAAAAAGAUCUACAGAUUAAAAAAAAAAAAAAAUCCCCAAAGCAUGGUUCAAUGAGUAAGUCUGUUUAGAGAAACCACACCAUCACAAGUACUCAAGUGGGUUUCAAGUGGGAUCCCUACACGACCAGCAAGAUCUCAAUAGCAUGAUGUUAGCUAAACCCUUCACCUGUAUAAAGGGAUAUUUGGAUAAACUGGAAUAGUCUUAUAUUGCAUACAUGGCUGUAAUAACCUAGACAUAUUUCAACCAAGUAUUUACUUCAAAUCCAGUGCCUUCUUCCUCAAAGUAUCCACUUUCAUUUUUGAUAAAGGGUCUAACAGGUUUUGGAGUCUCCACACUCCAAAAAAAGACUGCAAAGUGUGUAUGCAAAGAACUCCCCCAUCCUCUUGACCGACAGCAAACUUCUUGCAAAAACUGCUAAAAUAACUUACCAAUUUUCAAGUUUGACUUACAGAAAAGUUGCAGUGACACUGUGGUUCCCAUAUAAUCCCUCACUUAAUAUUAAGAUCUUAUGAAGAUGUGGGGCAGUGACCUAAAUUAGGAAACUAUAACAUCUAAAUGAUAUUGUUCACCAAACCAUAUCCCCCCAAAGCUGUUCCCCAUGCUCAAGCUUUUUUCUGUUUGGGGGUUCAAAUGAAGCCUUCACAACACAUUUUACUGUUUUUACUUCUUACUGUCUUGCCUGCCUGUGGUAGUUUCAUGAUCAGGAAAAUUGUAAGGAGCUGCUUUCUAGAAAUACUGUUUGGGUAGAAGAUCGAGAGCGGGCUCAGUGGUUAAGAGCACUUGCAUCUUUAGUAGAGAAAUUCUGGACUUUACAAAUAUAUUUCUCCUCAAACUUUCAACCACUGACUGAUUAUCCACAUAUGGAUUCCCCUUGAAUUGAUGUAAAGACCCAGUUAACUUGGUAUUUGUGCUCUAUUAGUAUGAAUCUGUUAAUUUUAUCACACAGGAUAUAUUUUCUUUG
This is a long non-coding RNA of Apodemus sylvaticus (European woodmouse), 1419 nucleotides long. RefSeq lists it as uncharacterized. The transcript has 3 exons. The record is from RefSeq and is a predicted model, not a curated record. Lineage: Eukaryota; Metazoa; Chordata; Mammalia; Rodentia; Muridae.